GUCUUUGGCCAUGCCACCCUGAACACACCUGAUUUCGUCUGAUCUCGAAAGCUAAGAAGGGUAGGGCCUGGAUAGUACUUGGAUGAGAGACCACCUAGGAAGACCGGGUGCUGUAGGCG
Molecule: ribosomal RNA, 119 nt
Filed under: Pteropus alecto (black flying fox)
Lineage: Eukaryota; Metazoa; Chordata; Mammalia; Chiroptera; Pteropodidae
Source: RNAcentral